This 404-nucleotide ribosomal RNA is filed under the name uncultured bacterium. RNAcentral's name for it is "partial 16S ribosomal RNA". It matches the Rfam family "Bacterial small subunit ribosomal RNA", at positions 30 to 526 of the family's 1533-position model. The record is from RNAcentral.
AUUGAACGCUGGCGGCAGGCCUAACACAUGCAAGUCGAGCGAGCGGCGGACGGGUGAGUAAUGCCUGGGAAUUGCCCAGUCGAGGGGGAUAACAGUUGGAAACGACUGCUAAUCCCGCAUACGAUUGGAUUGCCCAGGUGGGAUUAGCUAGUUGGUGGGGUAAUGGCUCACCAAGGCGAGGAUCCCUAGCUGGUCUGAGAGGAUUAUCAGCCAAACUGGAACGGGACCCCGGUCCCGACUCCUACGGGGGGCAGCAGUGGGGAAUAUUGCAAAAUGGGCGAAAGCCUGAUCCAGCCAUGCCGGGUGUGGGAAGAAGGUCUUCGGGUUGUAAAGCACUUUAAGUGGGGAGGCGUUACCCACAGAAGAAGAACCGGCUAACUCCGUGCCAGCAGCCGCGGUAAUUC